GAUGAACGCUGGCGGCGUGCCUAACACAUGCAAGUCGAACGAGAAAUGGAGACGGAAACCUUCGGGCGGAAGGCUUCAUUUCGAGUGGCGGACGGGUGAGUAACGCGUGGGUAACCUGCCUCAUACAGGGGGAUAACAGUUGGAAACGACUGUUAAUACCGCAUAAGACCACAGCACCGCAUGGUGCGGGGGUAAAAACUCCGGUGGUAUGAGAUGGACCCGCGUUCGAUUAGCCAGUUGGCGGGGUAACGGCCCACCAAAGCGACGAUCGAUAGCCGAUCUGAGAGGAUGACCGGCCACAUUGGGACUGAGACACGGCCCAAACUCCUACGGGAGGCAGCAGUGGGGAAUAUUGCACAAUGGGGGAAACCCUGAUGCAGCGACGCCGCGUGAGUGAAGAAGUACUUCGGUAUGUAAAGCUCUAUCAGCAGGGAAGAAAAUGACGGUACCUGAGUAAGAAGCCCCGGCUAACUACGUG
RNAcentral lists this ribosomal RNA (478 nucleotides) under uncultured bacterium. RNAcentral describes it as "partial 16S ribosomal RNA". It matches the Rfam family "Bacterial small subunit ribosomal RNA", at positions 28 to 507 of the family's 1533-position model. The record is from RNAcentral.